This 107-nucleotide small RNA is filed under the name Klebsiella quasipneumoniae. Its description in RNAcentral is "RtT RNA". It matches the Rfam family "RtT RNA", at positions 22 to 130 of the family's 130-position model. From Rfam's summary of the family: This family represents a bacterial cis-regulatory element known as RtT RNA. The exact function of RtT is unknown although it is thought that it may be involved in changing the cellular response in relation to amino acid starvation. The record is from RNAcentral. Lineage: Bacteria; Pseudomonadati; Pseudomonadota; Gammaproteobacteria; Enterobacterales; Enterobacteriaceae.
AUUCGAACCUGCGGCAGGUUCGGGUCUCACGUAGUGAGACAACGGAGCCGCUUGCGGCGACGGCCCGAAGGGCGAGGCGAAGCCGAGUCAUCCUGCACGACCCACCA